This 117-nucleotide ribosomal RNA is filed under the name Chloroflexota bacterium. The record is from RNAcentral. Lineage: Bacteria; Bacillati; Chloroflexota.
CCUGGUGAUUAUGGCGAAGUGGACCCACCCGUUCCCAUCCCGAACACGGAAGUGAAACGCUUUUGCGCUGACGAUACUGUAUUGGCAACGAUAUGGGACAAUAAGUAAUCGCCAGGU